UUACUUACCUGGACGGGGUCAAUGGGUGAUCCUAAAGGCCCAUGGCCUAGAUGUGUGGCCUCCAUUGCACUUGGGAGGUGCACCUAUCUAAGGUCUCCUCUUAGUAGGAGAGCCUACGUCAUAAUUUGUGACAGUGGGGCCUGCGUUCGCGCGGCCCCUAC
RNAcentral lists this small nuclear RNA (161 nucleotides) under Corchorus capsularis. RNAcentral's name for it is "snRNA U1". It matches the Rfam family "U1 spliceosomal RNA". Rfam says of the family: U1 is a small nuclear RNA (snRNA) component of the spliceosome (involved in pre-mRNA splicing). Lineage: Eukaryota; Viridiplantae; Streptophyta; Magnoliopsida; Malvales; Malvaceae. The record is from Rfam by way of RNAcentral.